This is a long non-coding RNA of Trachymyrmex cornetzi, 629 nucleotides long. RefSeq lists it as uncharacterized. The transcript has 2 exons. Lineage: Eukaryota; Metazoa; Arthropoda; Insecta; Hymenoptera; Formicidae. The record is from RefSeq and is a predicted model, not a curated record.
AUUAGCCCGCUCUCGACGAUCGACCACGCGUGAGUGCCGGCGAGGCGAGCGUCCGUCGGGCGUCGAGCGUCGGGAGGGGAGCCCGUCGAGGGUCCCCCAGGAACUCGGCUCUCAGUCGCAGCUCGGCUGUCAGUGCGCGACGAUCGAGCCGCGUUCAUCUGCCCGCGUUGCGCUUCGCGCAUACACACACGCACAUACAAACACCCAUACAUACAUUAUAUGUAAAUGUAAAAAAAUACAUACAUAACACGUACGCACGCACGUUUCACGCGUCCGCACGCCGCGGUGUGUAGGACGUGCCCGACACGUCCAUUCGAAUCGUAGAUCGUACACGCGGACGCGAGGGUGGAAAACGGUCGCCGUGGUUUUUGUACAUACGGUAUAAGGGUGCACGUGAGGGAGAGAGAGAGAGAGAGACUGAGAGAGACAGAGAGAGAGAGAGAGAGAGAGAGAAAAGGUAGGGAGAAAGGAAGAGGGCUGCAGAACGGGUGGUCCUGACAGCGAACGGUGACGAGAGAAGACCGACCGUCCUGAACGAACGAGCAUUAAACGCUAAGGAGAGUAAUAGGGGCCCCCGUACGUAAUUGGCACACUAGAAUGAGCUUUUUGUCCGAAAUAAAAGAAAAAAA